RNAcentral lists this ribosomal RNA (773 nucleotides) under Serratia marcescens. RNAcentral's name for it is "bacterial LSU rRNA". It matches the Rfam family "Bacterial large subunit ribosomal RNA", at positions 1251 to 2003 of the family's 2925-position model. The record is from RNAcentral. Lineage: Bacteria; Pseudomonadati; Pseudomonadota; Gammaproteobacteria; Enterobacterales; Yersiniaceae.
UUGAAGGUGGCCUGUGAGGGUUGCUGGAGGUAUCAGAAGUGCGAAUGCUGACAUAAGUAACGAUAAAGCGGGUGAAAAGCCCGCUCGCCGGAAGACCAAGGGUUCCUGUCCAACGUUAAUCGGGGCAGGGUGAGUCGACCCCUAAGGCGAGGCUGAAAAGCGUAGUCGAUGGGAAACAGGUUAAUAUUCCUGUACUUGGUGUUACUGCGAAGGGGGGACGGAGAAGGCUAGGCUGGCCGGGCGACGGUUGUCCCGGUUUAAGCGUGUAGGGGGUGUGACCUGGUAAAUCCGGUUGCAUAUCAACCCUGAGGCGUGAUGACGAUGCACUACGGUGCAGAAGUAGUUGAUGCCCUGCUUCCAGGAAAAUCCUCUAAGCUCCAGGUAACAUURAAUCGUACCCCAAACCGACACAGGUGGUCAGGUAGAGAAUACCAAGGCGCUUGAGAGAACUCGGGUGAAGGAACUAGGCAAAAUGGUGCCGUAACUUCGGGAGAAGGCACGCUGGCAUGUAGGUGAAGUCCCUCGCGGAUGGAGCUGAAGCCAGUCGAAGAUACCAGCUGGCUGCAACUGUUUAAUAAAAACACAGCACUGUGCAAACACGAAAGUGGACGUAUACGGUGUGACGCCUGCCCGGUGCUGGAAGGUUAAUUGAUGGGGUCAGCCGCAAGGCGAAGCUCUUGAUCGAAGCCCCAGUAAACGGCGGCCGUAACUAUAACGGUCCUAAGGUAGCGAAAUUCCUUGUCGGGUAAGUUCCGACCUGCACGAAUGGCGUA